Molecule: long non-coding RNA, 947 nt
Filed under: Sinocyclocheilus grahami
Lineage: Eukaryota; Metazoa; Chordata; Actinopteri; Cypriniformes; Cyprinidae
Description: lncRNA (ENSSGRG00000018993.1)
Source: RNAcentral
GUGUGAAGUUCAUGAAUAAGAUCCGUUAUGUGCACAGUCUGGAAGAGCUGGAAAAGAUUGUUCCUAUGGAUCAUAUCCAGAUCCCAGAGUGUGUCUUACAAUUUGAAGAGGAAAGAAUGAAUGCUAGAAAAGAGAGAAUGGAGCAGGAACAGAAAGAGCAGCAGCAUCAAGAACAGCAACAGAAGCCCGUCAAUCCAGAGAGGACGACAGCGAUUGAAGCGCCUGUACAGUGAGCAGACGAACUUGAAUAUUUUUGUUGCUGACCUUGGACCAUUUUUCAUAUUCCCAAAUUAUAUAUUAAUACACACAUCAGAUGACUCGAAACUGGUCUCAGAUCAGCAACAAAGCGGAAACGUUGGCAGGUGAGAACUGAGAAGGCCAGCUGCUCUUGCUUUCGUCCUCAAAGGCACCAUUUUAAAAAAGCAUUUCGAAAUCCACCAACAGAUGGCUCUACGCACAGAGAAACGUCGCUGUUUGGUAGCAGGAUGUACCAUCGUGUGCUGUGGCCUCUUUGCUGUUAUCGCUUUUUUAAAUAGGCUGUUCCCUGCUUGCUGACCCUGGAGAAUGUCAUGUUGUGACCUGCCUUUAUUAGACGGGUGUGUCUGCUCAGGAUUCGAUUACUGGUGCAUGUCGAUUUCCAAGCAUCUCUGUGCUUCUCUGUGUGUAUGCGCCCAAAUCGAAUGUAACUUUUAUAGACAAAUAGAGGGGGUUGUCAGAGCUUAACUCACAGCUGUCAAAGCCUGGAAUGCUUUCUUGGAUGUUUUUGAAUGUCUUAACCCCUUCCAUCUUGUUGAACGACCAGCUUUUGUAAACGAUAAGUGCCAGUCAUCUCUGAAAACAUUUCGACAUUAGCUGUACUUUUAUGUCGCCUUAUGUUUGCUGUGAAAAUGGUUCAAAAUUAAACAUUCUACUAUAUGUAUGACUACAAUUUUGAUUUGGUUUUGUCA